UGAAAAUAAUCACUCAGUGAUAAGAAUAGUAAAGAGUUUUAUUUGAGCCAAACUGAAAACUAGCCCGGAAGCCAGCUUCCCAGAUUACUCUGAGAAGCUGCUGUGGAAAAGUGUGGUUUCCAGCACAGU
This is a non-coding RNA of Vicugna pacos (alpaca), 129 nucleotides long. The record is from RefSeq and is a predicted model, not a curated record. Lineage: Eukaryota; Metazoa; Chordata; Mammalia; Artiodactyla; Camelidae.